GUCCACGCUGUAAACGAUGAUUACUCGUUUUCGGCGAUACACAGUCGGAGACUAAGCGAAAGUGAUAAGUAAUCCACCUGGGGAGUACGAUCGCAAGGUUGAAACUCAAAGGAAUUGACGGGGGCCCGCACAAGCGGUGGAGCAUGUGGUUUAAUUCGAUGAUACGCGAGGAACCUUACCAGGGCUUAAAUGCAAGUUGCAUGAUGUGGAAACAUGUCAGUCUUCGGACAAUUUGCAAGGUGCUGCAUGGCUGUCGU
This 257-nucleotide ribosomal RNA is filed under the name uncultured bacterium. RNAcentral's name for it is "partial 16S ribosomal RNA". It matches the Rfam family "Bacterial small subunit ribosomal RNA", at positions 793 to 1055 of the family's 1533-position model. The record is from RNAcentral.